GUGCCAGCAGCCGCGGUAAUACGUAGGGGGCAAGCGUUGUCCGGAAUUAUUGGGCGUAAAGGGCACGCAGGCGGUUUCGUCAGUCCGAUGUGACAGGCCGCCGCUCAACCGUGGAAGGCCACUGGAAACUGCGAGACUUGAGGACAGAAGAGGAGAGUGGAAUUCCACGUGUAGCGGUGAAAUGCGUUGAUAUGUGGAGGAACACCAGUGGCGAAGGCGACUCUCUGGUCUGUACCUGACGCUGAGGUGCGAAAGCAUGGGGAGCAAACAGGAUUAGAAACCCCAGUAGUCC
This 292-nucleotide ribosomal RNA is filed under the name uncultured prokaryote. RNAcentral's name for it is "partial 16S ribosomal RNA". It matches the Rfam family "Bacterial small subunit ribosomal RNA", at positions 505 to 796 of the family's 1533-position model. The record is from RNAcentral.